RNAcentral lists this long non-coding RNA (1523 nucleotides) under Drosophila guanche. The record is from RNAcentral. Lineage: Eukaryota; Metazoa; Arthropoda; Insecta; Diptera; Drosophilidae.
GUUGAUGUUGGUGGCUGGUGAUGAUGGCUUGGGUGGGUUCAGGGAUCGCUCUGGAGUGGGCUUCGUGGGGGAGUACUUGAUUUAAUGUGCGGGGUGUUACUUUCAACACCCUCCCAAUCACAAUAAUAACAGCAGAAUCAGCUAGCAGCAGCAGCAGCGACCACUAUUGACUACUGUUGCCGCUUGGCUGUGACAAUGCAAUUAUAAAUGGUGACAAAAUAAUUUCCGCUACGUGAUUUUUAUGACAGUUGUUCGAAUUCUGCUCCAAUGCACUCCUGCCAGCCAGCCUGUCAGCCACAAAAUUGAAUCAAAAUUAAAUAGUUUAGCUGGGAACUUGAAAGACUCUCUUGGGUUCGGUUCGAUUCUCUCUCUCUCCCCUUUCCAGGGGCUCAUUUCAAAUGCCAAUUUAAUGACCAUAAUUGGUUAGGAUGUGGCGAGCCGACUGAAACCGCUGGCAUAAUUUCAGCUCAUCCUGAUUUCCUGUCCUGUGUGGGUGCUGUGCUGUGCUGCUCAUCCUCAUCAGUGGCUCGCCUCGUCUCGCCACACAAACGGAGUAGGAAAUCAUAAUUUCAAGGGUGUCCAGCUCAACUUUUGGGUACGUCUCGCGAGUUCAUAAAAGCUUGUCAUUUGUUGCACGCAACCGUUGCGCUGCGUUAUAAUUGGAAAUUACCAUCAAACAAAAAUAUACAGCAAAUGUACGAGAAUGUGCGAAAAAUACCUGCACCAAAAACAGAAAACAGCACAAUACAGCACGAGAAUAAAAGCAAAAAUAUAACACAUAUUAAUAGGCAGAAAGAUAAUGGUGUUCUUCUGAUAUUGAAGCUAGCUAAAGUUUAGUUUUGUUUUAAUCAGACUCUUGCCUGUGUUGCCUGACCUGAGUCUGUGUGUUGAGUCUGAAAACGUUUAGAAUUUCCACGCUAAAGAUAGGGCAGCAAAAUUGCAUUGACUGCUGAUACGGGGCUGAGCGAACGGAGACCGGAAAAACGCCCACGGUUCGCGAAUUUUCUCCCAAAAUCGCUAGCUCCUCCGCCCAUUUGCCUUGCCAAAAAUGUGUAAUUUACAACAAAAAGAGGUGGAUGGGUGUGCGGGGCAAAAUAAAACAAAAUACUUUCAGUUCGUCGAACGGUGAGGAAUAAACUUUGUUGCAUUCGAGUUGAACUCUUUUGUGUGUGUGUGUUUUAUUUGCAUUUUGUGUAUCAUUUUACGGGAAUUUCACAGACACGGGCCAUAUGGAGGUAAUCGGCAGGCAGGUCGCCCAUUAAUAAAUGGAUAGUUAUUUGCAGUUUAUUUAAUUGAAUUUUUUCACUUUUCAGUUUUUUGUUCUUCACUCCCCCCCAUGCAUCUUGUAACAAAUUGCGAGGGGGAGUGCCGUGGGAGGGAGAGCAGUGUGUUGUAUAAUUUGCUUCAUAAACAAAAAAGCAAGACACAUACAUGUACAUACACACAUGUAUGUGUGUGUGUGUGUGUGUGUAUGCAUUUUAAAUAAACAUUUGACAGCGAACGGAAAUUGCGCUUAAUUGCCA